RNAcentral lists this ribosomal RNA (404 nucleotides) under Girella laevifrons. RNAcentral's name for it is "partial 12S ribosomal RNA". It matches the Rfam family "Bacterial small subunit ribosomal RNA", at positions 794 to 1400 of the family's 1533-position model. The record is from RNAcentral. Lineage: Eukaryota; Metazoa; Chordata; Actinopteri; Centrarchiformes; Girellidae.
GCCUAGCCUUAAACAUUGAUGGCCCAAUACAACCACCAUCCGCCUGGAAACUACGAGCACCAGCUUGAAACCCAAAGGACUUGGCGGUGCUUUAGAUCCACCUAGAGGAGCCUGUUCUAGAACCGAUAACCCCCGUUUAACCUCACCCCUCCUUGCUCUUCCCGUCUAUAUACCGCCGCCGUCAGCUUACCCUGUGAAGGGUCAAUAGUAAGCAAAAUUGGCAUAGCCCAAAACGUCAGGUCGAGGUGUAGCUAAUGGAGGGGGAAGAAAUGGGCUACAUUCACUAGUCCUAGUGAAUACGAACGAUAUACUGAAAUAUAUAUCUAAAGGAGGAUUUAGAAGUAAGUGGGAAACAGAGUGUCCCACUGAAAUUGGCUCUAAAGCACGCACACACCGCCCGUCAC